ACAGGCAUCUAACUCUCUUGAACUUUCCGUCUUUCCCUUUCUAGACUCAAAUUAAUUCUCUCUUUGAGAACCUAAAUUAGGAUGAAUUACUAUGAUUUCAUCCCUAUCUUCUUCAUUUUUCUAACUGAACAUCACUUGGAUCUAAUGGGGUGCAACAAUUGAGCUAUUUGAAUCGUUUGUCCAAUCUCUGCACGAGAUGGGGAGAUUAUUUGAAUCGUUUGUCCAAUCUCUGCACGAGAUGGGGAGAUUUGGAUACAUAUCGAAGAACCCUGUGAUUCACUUGUUUCAUCUACUGUCAAAAAAAAUAAGCAGAACUUUUUGAGGGGGAUAAGGAAAGUAUGGGGAGGAGAGGUUGUGUUAUAUCUUUCCAGGAACUGCCGUACUUAGUCCUCAUGUAUUUUUGGGCGAAAGUUUUAUGUGUUUUAAGUUGCUAUUUUGUAUGCGUUGCUAGUUUACAGAGCUCUGGGAUUUUCGUCAAUGUAUUGAUGUGUAUU
Molecule: long non-coding RNA, 494 nt
Organism: Papaver somniferum (opium poppy)
Lineage: Eukaryota; Viridiplantae; Streptophyta; Magnoliopsida; Ranunculales; Papaveraceae
Exons: 2
Source: RefSeq, a predicted model, not a curated record